RNAcentral lists this ribosomal RNA (543 nucleotides) under uncultured bacterium. RNAcentral's name for it is "bacterial SSU rRNA". It matches the Rfam family "Archaeal small subunit ribosomal RNA", at positions 723 to 1267 of the family's 1478-position model. The record is from RNAcentral.
ACUGAAUAGAUACCCCGGUAGUCCCAGCCGUAAACGAUGCUCGCUAGGUGUCAGGCAUGGCGCGACCGUGUCUGGUGCCGCAGGGAAGCCGUGAAGCGAGCCACCUGGGAAGUACGGCCGCAAGGCUGAAACUUAAAGGAAUUGGCGGGGAGCACAACAACGGGUGGAGCCUGCGGUUUAAUUGGACUCAACGCCGGACAACUCACCGGGGGCGACAGCAAUAUGUAGGCCAGGCUGAAGACCUUGCCUGAAUCGCUGAGAGGAGGUGCAUGGCCGUCGCCAGUUCGUACUGUGAAGCAUCCUGUUAAGUCAGGCAACGAGCGAGACCCGUGCCCACUGUUACCAGCAUGUCCUCCGGGACGAUGGGUACUCUGUGGGGACCGCCGAUGUUAAAUCGGAGGAAGGUGCGGGCCACGGUAGGUCAGUAUGCCCCGAAUCUCCCGGGCUACACGCGGGCUACAAUGGAUGGGACAAUGGGUCCCUCCCCUGAAAAGGGCUGGUAAUCUCACAAACCCAUUCGUAGUUCGGAUCGAGGGCUGUAAC